CAUGCUGAAACACUGGUUCCUGUAUGAUCACAAAAGUUAAACAACAUUGAGCCUGGUCAGUACCUGGAUGAGUGACCACUUGGGAAUACCAGGUGCUGUACG
This 102-nucleotide ribosomal RNA is filed under the name Acanthosepion pharaonis. Lineage: Eukaryota; Metazoa; Mollusca; Cephalopoda; Sepiida; Sepiidae. The record is from RNAcentral.